AGUGAACGCUGGCGGUAGGCCUAACACAUGCAAGUCGAACGGCAGCACAGUAAGAGCUUGCUCUUACGGGUGGCGAGUGGCGGACGGGUGAGGAAUACAUCGGAAUCUACUUUUUCGUGGGGGUUAACGUAGGGGAACUUACGCCAAUAUAGCAGACGCCCUACGGGGGAAAGCAGGGGAUCUUCGGACCUUGCGGGUAUGGAUGCGCGGGUGUUUGAUUAGCUAGUUGGCGGGGUACUGGCCUACCAAGGCUCUGAUCGGUAGCCGGCCUGAGAGGGUGACCGGCCACAUUGGGACGGAGAUACGGCCCAGACUCCUACGGGAGGCAGCAGUGGGGAAUAUUGCACAAUGGGCUGAAGCCUGAUGCAGCAACGCCGCGUGCGGGAUGACGGCCUUCGGGUUGUAAACCGCAUUCGCCUGUGACGAAGCGUGAGUGACGGUAAUGGGUAAAGAAGCACCGGCUAACUACGUG
Molecule: ribosomal RNA, 472 nt
Filed under: uncultured bacterium
Lineage: Bacteria
Description: partial 16S ribosomal RNA
Rfam family: Bacterial small subunit ribosomal RNA
Source: RNAcentral